RNAcentral lists this transfer RNA (71 nucleotides) under Oreta fuscopurpurea. RNAcentral describes it as "tRNA-Leu". The record is from RNAcentral. Lineage: Eukaryota; Metazoa; Arthropoda; Insecta; Lepidoptera; Drepanidae.
ACUAUUUUGGCAGAUAAAAUGUGUUGAUUUUAGAAGUCAUAGAUAUAUAAAUUUAAAUUAUAUAGAUAGUA